CAGAGUUACAUCACGAGUCAGAGCUGGGUGGGCACUGAGUAUUGAUAGCUCAGACCCCUGAACAGAAGGUCACAGGGUAUGGUGAAGUGUAUCUGUCAUUCCAGCACUUCCCACACAAAAGCAGGAGGACCAAGUUUAUGGUUCUUCUUAACUGAAUAGUGAGUUUGAAGCCAGCCUAGCCAACAUAGCAGAGAGCAGACCACGGAGACAUGCCAGAGCAAUGGAAACCGGAAAUGAGGUAACUGGAGUGUCCAUGUUGAGAGGAGUGGGUUAGUGGCCAUAAGAGUCCACCUCCCCUGUUCUGCGGAAACUUACCACCACUCCUUCCCACCAUCUAUGAGAAGCAUGAAGCCUACACCAUAAGAUGGUAGAUCUAAUCUUGAACGUUCCAGCCUUCAGACCACAGAGCAAAGAACAUCAGAAAAGAUGCUCAUUCCUUCUGGGACUGUCUGUUACAGUCACCUCUGCUUGGCUCAAAGGUAACUUAGGCUCAUACUCCUAAAGGCCUGGGGUUCAGUGCACAAGUGCAGCCGCAAGAGCCUGGCUUUCAUUGCUUCUAGACCUAAGAAAGGAAGAGAAUCAGCUCUCGGCUCAUCUCCUGAGAAAAUUCUGACAGCUGGACACCGGAUAUUCAUGACAGUGAGACUCUCCAG
Molecule: long non-coding RNA, 653 nt
Filed under: Mus spicilegus (steppe mouse)
Lineage: Eukaryota; Metazoa; Chordata; Mammalia; Rodentia; Muridae
Description: lncRNA (ENSMSIG00000012904.1)
Source: RNAcentral